GUUGGGCGAGAGCGCAGGUGUAGCUUAGGUGGGAUUGCUUUACGGCGCAAGUGAAAGACCACUACUGCGUUCCUCGUUCAAC
Molecule: non-coding RNA, 82 nt
Filed under: Lottia gigantea (owl limpet)
Lineage: Eukaryota; Metazoa; Mollusca; Gastropoda; Lottiidae
Source: Rfam by way of RNAcentral